UUAUAUACAGUGCAGUAUCCGCUGUUUAUUCUGAUUCUGUUAACGUUCUUAUAUACGUUCAUUCAUUCAUUCGGUAUCUAAACCGUAUCGGUGGUAAAUAGUAUAAGGUCAAAGGUGUACGCAAACGUAAAAAUAUGUGUAAAAAAACAAAAAGCCAAUUUCGAUCUGAACAAGAGUGUACCAAUAUAUCACAAUAUAGCCAGCACAGUCGUCACUCGUCUUUUAUGUAAGGCAACAGUAAGUUGAAUGCAUCCACUAUAAAAACGUAGUAUAAAUAUAUAUUACAAGACAGUGAUGAGUAGGAGUCUACUUGGGUAGCAUACUAAAUAUGAGUGAAAAAGUUACAAAAUAUUCUAAGCCUGUUGCACAGAGAAAAUUGACUGUAGAGCGUGCUGCAUCACUUAAGCUUCGUCCAUUAUUGCCAAAGAAAAGAGUUCUAUAUUCAGGCAAAAAUGAUUGUAUCAUUAUAGAUGAUGAUGAUGAUGAUAAUGAUAUUCAGUGUUUAGGUUCUUAUAAAACUUCACCAGAAAUUUCCAAAAAAUUUCGACAUAGUGUUAAAGAUGAUGAUGUUAUUAUUUUAAAUGGAGAACCUAAUAGAUUAAAAACUAAACUGGAUGUUUGUAAACCUGUUGGUAUCGCCAAUUCAACUGAAAAGCAUUCAAACCCUAUUGAAUCAGCUAAUCCAAACAUGAAUACCUACAUACCACUUCAUGAUUUCACUGUCUCUGAUCCCAAUGUCUGUACUUUGGCGCAACCUUUUAAUUCUGGCAUUCCUACACCACCAUCAAGUGGUCUUAUUGCUCCACAGAGUCAAGGAUUUGCUACUCUAUCUUUAACAGACAGGUCAAAUGUUAUAGUAUCUGGACCACCUCAUAAUUUUCCAGUAGCAUCUUUGCCACAAGACCCAAAUGUUCCCACAUUCAUACAGAUUCAAGACUUUCCUAUGCUAAAUUCUUCAGAUAUAGUAAUUACUCAAGCUCCUGCACUGACACCCGAGUGUAUGACAUUGCCAAAUGGAGUGUUGCAAAAUGGAACUGUAUUAUCUAACAACUCGAAUGCACGAGUACCUGCCAGAAGAGCAGAAUCUGUGGCAAGAAUAAAUAAUGUUCCCUCAUAUGUUGAAGAGCAACAAGCACUCCUCACCUUCAGACCCAAUUUAAAACAUGAAUUAAGGCGUGUUGACAUUCCAGUCAAUAAGGGAAUUGCUUUUGGAUCUACUGAAAACAAUGAAGGUCAAAUGUUAGCAGCCACAAUGAAUUCAACGACAGAUGAAGUUAUAGAACAAAUAAAAGAACGACCAGCAAAUAAAAGAGCUCAUUCUAAGCAUAAAAAUGAUUAUAAAUACAUACAAGUAAUCACAGACACAGAUACCAUUCUUCAUGAAAUUAAAAUCAAACCAAAUAAAAGAAAGAAGAAAAAUGUUCCAAAGAAAGUUGUUGAUGAUGACAGAAAUGUUCAUUCAAAACAAAUUGAGAACAGAAAUGAGAAACAAGUUGUAGAAAAACCUGGUCAGUUCAGCAUAAAAGACUUGGAAGAGUUCGAAAAUCUCAAAAGUAUGCCAAAUGCUGUACCACAAGAAAUUAGUGAUGAAAUCAUGCCAUGUGAUUUACAAAAAACUUUUAAUCGAGGAACCCAAACAUCGAUUCAUUGCUGGCUCUUCAAGAACGACAAUCUUUACAGUUUGGAUGAUAAUGUGGGUAGUGAGUGUAACAUAAGACUUGAACCUGUUGGGAAGUUAAGGAUGGAUAAAAAUCCUGGAAAAAAUAAAAAUCAAUCAAAAAGUAAAGGAGCAUUAAACAAGGAAGUUCCUGACAGUUCAGUGGCUGGCAGUUGUGAACCCAAUACAUCUGAUUUACCAACAAUGCCUACCUGUGAAGUAGAUCAUUCAGUUUCUCAAAGUGAAAAAAAUACUGAAAUUCAUCACAACUCACCACCUCUUGUUGAAGUGGACCCGCCUACAGUUACUGAAAUUGAUCAUACCUCACCACCUCUUGCUGAAGUGGACCAGCCUAGAGUUACUGAAGUUGAUCAUACCUCACCACCUCUUGCUGAAGUGGACCAGCCUAGAGUUGAAGACGACCCAGCACAUGGUGUGUUUGAGAGUGGAAGUGCCUUCACAGAGAACACGUACUUGACCCUAGGACUGCCAGUGCCUACCCAGCAGAGAGGUGUGCGCUAUGAGGUGGAUCAUAUUGUCCCACAAAACACUGAAACAGCUAGGUCAAUGAUGAGUGAGACAAAUGGUCCUUCAUUUACUGCACCUCCUGGAGAUCAAACGGAUCCUCCUAAUAUGUUCCCUAGAUCUGCUGCAACUGCAACUGUGGCCAAUCUCCCAGCCCCCUAUAUCAACCUUUUCAACAAAAUUUGCGAAGACAUCAGAAACGCUCUCAAGUUUGACAAGGACUGCAACAUACCUCUGCAUGAUGCAGUUAUAGACUGUGACUUAAAAAGGGUGAAGAGUCAGUGUAUUCUGCUGAAGGGGAUGAAGUCUAACCUCAACCACCGCAAUGUGCACGGCGAUACACCAUUGAUGCUAGCAGUGAAGCUAGCUGUGGACCUCGGUGGGGCGGAGAGGUGGAAAGUGGUCCAAAUGUUGUUGAAGGAGGGGGCGGAUCAGACUGUGGCAGACCGUGAGGAGUACACACCCCUCCACUAUGCUGUCCAAUACGGCUCCACCAAUCUAGUCCGCACUCUGCUUGGUGACGAUGGUUCUCAUAAAGUUAUAGACAAGUUUUGUCGUAAUGGUCUGGCUCCUCUCCACUUGGCAGCCAUCGGUGGUCAUGAUGACAUUAUUGAAAUGCUCAUAGAUGCAAAGGCUGAUUUCAACUGUAAGGAUAUGAAGAGUGGGCGGACACCAUAUUUCUUUGCUCUAGAGAAAGAAAACACAAGUUCUGCCAAAAUUUUUGUCAAGUUCAAAGCAAAAGUGAAUGAGCCAAAUUUUGCAGGCCAGUAUCCACCAACUAAAACUUUGAAAGUCAACCAAGGAGAUGAUUGUAAAGUAGAUAACAAAUCUUUAAAAAACUCAGCUAGCUCGAAAGCACCUUUUAACAUUGCAGAAACUACUUCAAUUGAAAUUGAAGAGGAGAUGAUUGAAGAUCCUAUGGUGGUAGAAGAGGAUGGAAUAUCAGGAAGUUCUUUCACGGAUCUCGGAGCUCCAGUAGCUAAAUCUAAGGAACAGAAUUGUGACAUUUCUAAUCUAAAUAGGAUAAAUGAAGUCGAAACUGCAUUGUGUCGAAAAUCACUAGAUUUAUCCGAACGUACUGCUUCAGGACCAAACUAUGAACACAUCUGUCCUUCAGAAAUUACAAAUAUUCAACCUUCACCAGAUACCAUCUCCAUAGAGAAUCAGAUGUCACAUAACCCAUCUCUCUGUCCUUUGAGUACAUCAGACAGUCCAAUUCUACCUCUAAAUUAUGAUCCACAAGAGCAACAUCAAUGUCAUAAUAAUUCAUCGUUAAGAGCUGCAUUGGAAAUGAAUGACUCUAAUCAUGUAGGAGUAACAAAGGAAAAACAAAAAGAUAUUACAGAAAUAUUGAAAAAUUCUCUCAAUAUUCCCUCAAAAGGAGAUAAGAAGAGUAAAAGUAAUGAAAUAAAAAAAACUCGUAACCAUCCAUUAUCUAGGAUUUUUUCACAAACAUUGGACAUUGAUAAAUCUUUUAAUAGUUGUGAAAAUGCCAUAAACAACUCUUCUAGCAAUUUAAAACCUCAAGACAUAAUUCAGCCAACUCAACCUCAUCAAAUUAAGAAAACUCUUGGAAAUAUUUCUCACAGUUCCGACCCCCAGUACAAUGGUGCUAAGUCUGUAUCAUCAAAUGAAAAUACUCAAAAAAUAAUUCAACUUAAUGUUUCUGAAUGUGCAGGAACUAAACAAACCCCCAUUAUUCAAUCUAGUCAAAUCAUGAAAUCUCAUCAAAAUUCUAAUCUCAAUUUGAAUAAAGAAUUAAAUAAUUCCAGGUCUUUAUUAUCAGAUGCAGAAACUCAAAAAUUAGUUCCGUCAAGUACUUCUAAAUGUGAAGAAAUUAAACAAUCCUCCUGUAACCAACCUGGCGAAAAUAUGGAAUCUCAUGGAAAUUCUUGUUUCACCUUUCAGGAUCAUUCUAAUGAUGCUGAAUUUGUGUUAUCGGAUGAUGAUGAUAGCGAUGAGGAUACUUCCCCAUCAGACUAUACAACUGCCAAACCAACAGCUGAAGUUGCAGAACAUUGCAAUAAAAGAACCAAAUCAAACAAUAGUACAGAAAGACUAGAUCUAGAGAAACUCACUUCUAACAGAGAUGGUUUGCAUUUGGCUCGAAUUGAUCAUAACAAACAAGGAAGUAAAAGUGCUGAACUGAAUGUAAAUGAGGAAAUAGAAGAACAUGUGGAAUCAAGGAAAACCAAUUUAGAAGUAAAAAAUAAACCACAAAGGAAGAGUAAAAGGAAAAUUUCAGAAGAACAACUUGAUGACAGUUUGAGUACAGAUAGAAGGAAAUCUUUAAGGAAAAGUAAUGCACCAGAUUCUUUAGGCAAGAAAAAUGAUGAUGAAAAAUCCAACCAAAGAACAAAACAAGCCAAAAUGAGCAAAACACUACCAGAUUCAAAAUCUAUUCCAUCUAAUAUAAGAAGUAGAAGAAGCCAAGAUAAUGUAAAAGAAAAACAGGAAGAAGUAUUGGACUCAACUAAAAGAACAAGAAAUCAAGAAAUAGCACAAAACAAAGCCUGUCAGUACAGAAGAAUAGAACAAGCCAGAUGGACAAUCCAUGAGGCAUUGAAAUGGCAAUAAGUUUCAAUACCGACACCUAGCGACAGAAGUUUAUUCUGCACAAGCCCCACUCACAGCAGAACUAUUCCAGGAACUUUUGGGUAAAGCUUGCAAAACAGCAAAAGUAGGGCUGGUGUCGCAGACUUUUCUGACCAGCAGAUUCUAGAUGAAGCAUUCAUUUUCAAAAGGCUCAAAGUUCACUAUAAAAAGUAAGAUUUUGAUGAAGAUCUGACCUGAAACACUAGUUUUAAAGCUGAUUUUAUUUUUAUUUCUGAAGAAGAAUCUCCGGAUGGGGGCUCUUCAAAACCCAAGAAUAUUUUUGAAGCUUAACCUCUGCAUCUGCAACUGGUUGAUGUUCCAAAACACAAUAUAUGCUGGAUUGAUUUUAUGUGUACUGUAAUACAAUAUCAGCCCCCAUUUCAAGACAUACCCAAUUCUUGUAGCUGUUAUUCUCAUAAAAACAUUCACUUCAUUUACAUAAAAUAACAACCAACAUUUAAUGUUAUUCACAGACUGUUAGAACACACGCAAGCCGAUCAAAAGUUGGUAUAACACAGGCACUAUUCAUUGACCAAGUAAAUAUAAAUAUGAACAUUGCCUGUAUUGGGUUGAAUAAGCCUUUGCUGGACUCUCUUUUCGUACAAAGAAUCUGUGGGCAAAAUAACAUUUUGAUAUUACAUGUUUUCUUUUCUGGUUGAUCUUCAAAAAUGGAAUAGUUAAUUUCUUAAGUAGUAGUUGUCAAUGUGUUGUAGCAUGGAUGAAAAUAGUUCUAGAUAAAAGUUGUAUUUUGGGAUACUUGCAGACUAUUUAUGCUGUUAAGUAAGUAAUACCUGUAUUUACUAUAUAUUUUAAUAAUAUAACCAGCAGUAGUAUCCAAUAUUACCUGGGUGUGUGUGUGUUUUUUCAGAAAUUAAUAUUUUAGUAGCCUUAUGCAAAAUGGACAGAACUACUUGUAAAUUAAUACUAUAUGUCAUGCCUUAUUAUGAAUUAAAUAUAAUACGUAAAAUUAAUACAUAAACAGUGUUAGUAUUGUUUUUCAUAAAAAUUUUGUAUUUUAUAAAAAAUUAAUUAUAUGUUCUCUCCUGCUACCUACUGUAUUUAUAUAUGUAUGUUAAUGCAAUGAUUGUUUAACUUGCAUAGUUAAUUUAUUUUCUUUUACAACAUUAAGCUAUACACUAAUUUGUACAUAUAAUAUUACAAUUCUACUAGUUUUGUGACUAUGUAAUACUGUUAGCAGUGUCAGAAAGUUGUUUAACUUGCACAGUAUUACCACCAUGGUCAGUGAUUUAUUAAUUGUUACAAUGAAACAUAAUUUUAUGUAAACUACUUGUACAAAAUAAAACCUUUAUUACAUUUCAUUUGUAUGUUUCGUUUUAGAAACAGUUUAUUGUUGUGAAAUAAAAUAAAAAUUGUUACCUGAAAUUAAAUGAAUAUAAAGAAAAUAUAGUCUUUACUUUUUUCAA
Homalodisca vitripennis (glassy-winged sharpshooter) is the source of this 6201-nucleotide RNA transcript. It is a transcript of the gene named protein phosphatase 1 regulatory subunit 12A-like, with no coding region annotated. The record is from RefSeq and is a predicted model, not a curated record. The transcript is spliced from 9 exons. NCBI's taxonomy places the organism in Eukaryota, Metazoa, Arthropoda, Insecta, Hemiptera, Cicadellidae.